RNAcentral lists this ribosomal RNA (253 nucleotides) under uncultured bacterium. RNAcentral's name for it is "partial 16S ribosomal RNA". It matches the Rfam family "Bacterial small subunit ribosomal RNA", at positions 524 to 776 of the family's 1533-position model. The record is from RNAcentral.
UACGCAGGUGGCAAGCGUUGUCCGGAUUUAUUGGGUUUAAAGGGUGCGUAGGCGGCCCUGUAAGUCAGUGCUGAAAUAUCCCAGCUUAACUGGGAGGGUGGCAUUGAUACUGCGGGGCUAGAGUACAGAUGAGGUAGGCGGAAUUGACGGUGUAGCGGUGAAAUGCUUAGAUAUCGUCAAGAACACCUAUAGCGAAGGCAGCUUACUAGGCUGUAACUGACGCUGAGGCACGAAAGUGUGGGGAUCAAACAGG